RNAcentral lists this ribosomal RNA (393 nucleotides) under uncultured bacterium. RNAcentral's name for it is "partial 16S ribosomal RNA". It matches the Rfam family "Bacterial small subunit ribosomal RNA", at positions 523 to 918 of the family's 1533-position model. The record is from RNAcentral.
AUACGUAGGACGCGAGCGUUAUCCGGAUUCAUUGGGUUUAAAGGGUGCGCAGGCGGCCGUGCAAGUCAGCGGUGAAAGCCCGGGGCUCAACCCCGGAAGUGCCGUUGAUACUGCGUGGCUGGAAUGCGGUCGAGGCGGGCGGAACGUGGCGUGUUGCGGUGAAAUGCGUAGAUAUGCCACAGAACGCCGAUGGCGGAGGCGGCUCGCCAGGCCUGCAUUGACGCUCGGGCACGAAAGCGUGGGGAUCGAACAGGAUUAGAUACCCUGGUAGUCCACGCCGUAAACGAUGGGCGCUCGUCGUCGGCGACAGACAGUCGGCGGCCAAGCGAAAGCGAUAAGCGCCCCACCUGGGGAGUACGGUCGCAAGGCUGAAACUCAAAUGAAUUGACGGGG